CCGCAGCAUGCACGAGAGGGGAGUGCUGGCAGCAGUCACCCCGGUGUGAUGUUCAUUAACUUCCUCAGCCUCUGCUCUUUCCUCUUCUGAGCAGCAGAGGGAAGAAAGCUUGCUAGGAGGCUGCAAAGAGAGCAAGAAGGGUUCCAGGCUGACAGGAGCCAUGGUGGGACAGAGCAUUUUGAAGUACGAAAGCAUUUUGCCACAACUUUCAGCCAUUCUUUCAUCUAUCGAGGAAUUACAGGUGAAGAAAACUGUGAGGAGGAGGAUCCCAUGGAAGGCAAAGCUGAGAAAUACUCCUCCAAUGAAAUACCCACUUAUCUUUCCCUGCUGAACUCCCAUCUCCAAGAUCAUCACUAUCAGCACAGUGUGUCUGGUACUGGGGAAGAAGAGGUCAUUCUGUAGUCACUCCACGUCUUCUCUCGCCCUGUUUUACAAAAAGGAACAGAUGAUAAAAGCUUAUUUCCUUGUUUCCAAGUCCUACUCAGGAGACCCACAUUUACUUUUUGCUGUGCAUUGGGAAUGGUAAAAAGGAACCUGAUGGUGUGGGAUGAGUCCCCGCAAAGCACUGCCAAACCACUGCUGGGGCAAAAUCCAGGCACUUGUGUCAACUUCUCGAGUCACAGCUCCCAGAUCCGGAACAGAGCGUGAUGUUCUGGUGCUGCUGAGCAUUUCUUUUGCAGACCUUUCCUUUUCUAUUUCUUCUGAUGGGGUUAGUUUUAUCCAUCAGAGCUACACACGAGGACCUUAGUCACCUUCCUGCUUGGAAUUCUGCUGGAGGUGGUCAAGCAGCAAGGGUUUGCACCAGGAGUAUUAGGUAGGGCUCUGCUGCUUUUUGAAAAACUCUUCUUAAAGUCUGCAGUGAGUCUAUGGAUCAGCGGUGUUCGGGGAGUAAUAGGAAUGAUUAGUGCAGCAUUGAAAAUCAAUGUCUGCUGGGAAUGUUUCAGCAGUAAACAGAGGGCAAUUAUCUGAAAAGAGGACUCAAGGAGCACUGCUGUGUCCUGUAAAUAUUACUCACAGUAAGGAAUGUGGGGCCCUUCCCAUACAACGUCUGCUUUUACCUCCCACGAAGGUGUCAGAGAGCUGCAGUGACAGUAUGUGGGGAGGUUUUCCCUCAUUAGCCUUCUGCUAGGGCUGGGAUUUGUCACCAUUAGGAAAUUUGUUGUGUGUGUGUUCCUGCCUCGUGGGGAGCAUUUCUAUCUGAUCACAGUAAGGCCCUCAGCCCAUGGAAGCUUUGCCAGCCCUCAGCCCAGGAAUGUUGUUGGCACUCAAUGCCAUCAGCCCAGGCGCCAGCAAAUCUCACCCUUCCUCAUCUCCAGUUUUCUGAAGACAACCGGAAAGUGCUGGGGCUGCAGUCGGGACAAGUUCAGCAUCAACUCCAAAAUCUCUUUCUGAAGAUCUUUCCUCUUUUAAUAAUUCACCCUGACAACAUCUGCAUUGAGGUGCUGUCUCCGGUUUGCGAGUAAUGCCAAAAGAAAGCUGUAUCAGACAGAGAUGAGAUGUUUGAUUGCGAGACAGAUUACCCAGUGGCCUGAAACAGGAUAAUGCUGCGAGGGAUUGAGUCUGCUUCUAAGGCAAAGUCCAACUGAGGCAAUUUGCAGGCCUGAAUGCUUACAUGAAUUCAUUUCCACAUUGCUUCUUGUUUCUGGUGGGUGAGGGAGAGGGAAAAUCUGUCGAAAAUCUGUUGCUGCUCUCACAUCUGAGGAUAUUCAGUAGUCAGAGGCCACUGAGUAUGCAGGAACUAGUCACUGGGCUGUAGGAGAUGAUCGUAGAAUUCUUUGAGUUGGAAGGGACCCAUAAAGGCCACCUGGUCCCACUCCCUGCAAUGAACAGGGACACCCACAGCUCCAUCAGUGCUCAGAGCCCCUCCUGCCUGACCUUGUGUAUCUACAAUCUGGAAGGAGAAAUUGUGAAGCCCAGUGUAGAUCCACGCGAAGGUAGGUCUGGGUAUUACCCCCUUGGUGUCCUAUAGUGUAUUGUUUUCACCUUCUGGAGAAUAUCUUCUGAACACUUACUUUGCUUUUACCAGCAAGGGCAGAAGGACGUGGCAAGGUGUGGGGAAGGGAAGAUAAGACACUACAAUUUUAUUUCCAGUCCUGUGAAAAUCUGCACAAGAGCUAUCAGAAUGGCCUUUUUUUCCCCUUUUGUUCCUCCAGUGCUGAACUGCACUGUACCAACAGCUUUUAAUCCUUCAGUCUUUAUGUUAUUCAGUCAUUUGCUGAAAACCUUCCUAUUACACCUUCAGUUUCUCAGGGCUGUAGCCAUCACUCCCAGCAUCGUACAGCUAGCUCUCAGAGAAUCUUAUCUGGUCUUUGGCGAUUUCUAUUCUGUUUCUCAUUAUAGUCUGUAAUGGAGCUUUUUGCUCCAAUAUUUUACACUUCAACCAUUUAGAUUUGUGUUUCUGAAUCAAGGUAUCACUUGUUCCCCAGAGGCUAUGGGACCUGGAUGUGUGAACUUGUUAUUUCCUGAUGACAAUGUUACACAAUGCUUGCCCUGGCUUAUGCUAUAGUUGAUAUCUCCCAAUAUCUUCCAGUCCCGUAGUGAAGAAGAAAAGAAAGCAUACGAUAAGCUCAUCUACGAAAGGAUCUUGGUGCUCCAGAAAAAGGCAGAUGGAAUAUUGUAUAUGAAAGGCUCUAAUUUAAUAAGUGGCACUGGAGGAAACAGAGAAGAAAAAGCCAUUUAGGAUUGGAAAUAGAGAAGUAGAAACCAUUUAGAACUGCUGAAAUUUCUGCUUCCAUCGAGAUCAGCGGCCUGAGCUAGCACUUUGAACUUCUCCACAUCACCUCUCUUAGCUGUAGCUGUCUGUUCUACAGCCCUCUACCACUGUGCAGAGAUGGAGGUUUGCCAUCAUCCUGCCAUUUAUUAAUCAGGGAGGUUCUUUCUCUUUUUCAUUCUAUUUUCUCUUUUCCAUCCUCUUUAGGAGAUGUACAUUACACUGUAAUGGCUUCACAUGGUGACCAGUCAUUCCUAUUUAUAGUGGAUAUUGUCUGCAUGGAAUUAGUAGUCUGUAAAAUUCUCACAAAGCAGGCACUGUUGAAUAGACAUGAAGCUUGUUUUAAACAAAUGAAGGGAUAUUAAGCAAACAAUGGAAUUUCCAGACAGCUAUUUGAAAUGAUAAGGAACUGAUGGAAUUUUACCUGCACAGGUAAAGCAAAUCAGCAGUAAUUAUACUUGUCUAGCCAGAGGGGUGAGGAGGUUUGGAGGUGGAAAACCACGAUACUUGAAACCUCUUUUAAAGACACAGAGCUUGGCUGAUUUCCAUGGUUUGGAGUAUCUGCAAGUAAUUGUCUGCACUGUUAACUAAAUAAGAGUGUACAGAUUCUUUUCUGUUGGGAUUUUUCUACAAAAGAGAUGUUUUGAGACUUUGUAAUGAUGUCCCAGUUGGAAGUUGGUUUCAUGAGACACGUUACUCAUGGGAAAAGGAAAUCCUGUGAAGUUCAAGGGAAUGUAAAAAUGAAGAGCUCUCAUCAGCAGAAGAAACCUGGCAGCAGAAAGUUUGAAUUCAUCCCAGUGGUCACAGAGUGGCUCAGUAAACAGCUGCAUCUUCUCUUCCUUUGUUCUGAUUUAUAUGGCUGUGUAUUGGUCACAGGAGACACCACCACCAUAGCUGCAGGCAGUGAUGUACAGCAGCAGAUGAGUCUCAAAGACCCCAUGGAAGCUGAUUUCAGUUCACUUGUGCCUUCCCCUGGAUCUGCAUGUGUUUUGGACCCCUCAGCACGCAGAACAGUGAGGCACUGCUCCAGGAGCAGGCUCAGUCUCCUGCAAUUUUAUAUCUUCCCUUCUGCUCGCAAUAACAACCAGGAAACGUGAAGGCAUGGGGAAAUGAAAGCCAGUGAGAAUGAAAUUGCAACAUCUGGGUUUGCUUUGGUGUCGAUUCAUACUUUAUCUGCCAUUCCCAGUUGUCCUGCACCUUGUGUUCACAGCGCCACGUAGACAGUGCCGGAAUAACACUUGAAAUUAUUAUCUGACUAUCAAGAGCCAUGCUCUGUAGCCAGCAUUAGCCUGAGCCCCAAAGCCCAAUGAGUUCUCUGUUGGCUGAGCUCAGGGUUGGCCACCAGCAGCAGAGAUAUCCCCUGCUGCUUCAUUAGCAUCCUUGUACCAUCGGUUAUGUGAAGCACUGCCCCUUGUGCAGGGGAGCAUGGAAGGCUGCUGCUGGGCAAUAGGAAAUACUGGAGAGCAGGACUGGUGCAGCACU
Molecule: long non-coding RNA, 4192 nt
Organism: Numida meleagris (helmeted guineafowl)
Lineage: Eukaryota; Metazoa; Chordata; Aves; Galliformes; Numididae
Exons: 3
Source: RefSeq, a predicted model, not a curated record